Rhodamnia argentea is the source of this 439-nucleotide long non-coding RNA. RefSeq lists it as uncharacterized. NCBI's taxonomy places the organism in Eukaryota, Viridiplantae, Streptophyta, Magnoliopsida, Myrtales, Myrtaceae. The transcript has 2 exons. The record is from RefSeq and is a predicted model, not a curated record.
UUCACCAUCAUAAUCGGGCAUUCACCAAAUGAUGGUGCCUUACCUUCCAUGCUGCAUAUGGCCAAGUCUCCAAAUCUUCAUUCAUGGAAUGGUUGAUUUCCCACAAAUUAUAUCAGGCUAAACUCAUGUUGCUCAUCCAUACAUUGGACAUAUAAAAGCUCGAUAGACAAUUCUUCGCCAUGUACUUUCCAGUUCUAGAUUAGGUGGACCUCAAACAUCAGAUAGUGCUAAAGUGUCAACUACAAGUAAAGUCAUUAUUAUGGCCACCUACCUCCAUUAGGAAAGAUUCACUUCCAAAUGCCUUCAAAAUGGUUUGCUUAGAAGAGUUUUACCAACAGUAGUGAAUUUCUCAACUGCCAGCCUCGUCACUUAAAUGGAGACAAGCUAAUUACCAGACAGGAUGGCUAGAGGUCAUUAAAAUUGAAAUUUAUGACCAUGA